CGCCAGAGAUGGCUUAGUGCUCGAAAGAGAACCGUAACACAGGUGCUGCAUGGCUGUCGUCAGCUCGUGUCGUGAGAUGUUGGGUUAAGUCCCGCAACGAGCGCAACCCUUGUCAUUAGUUGCUACAUUUAGUUGGGCACUCUAAUGAGACUGCCGGUGACAACCGGAGGAAGGUGGGGAUGACGUCAAGUCCUCAUGGCCCUUAUAGGUAGGGCUACACACGUCAUACAAUGGAUGGUACAAAGGGUCGCCAACCCGCGAGGGGGAGCCAAUCCCAUAAAACCAUUCGUAGUCCGGAUCGCAGUCUGCAACUCGACUGCGUGAAGUCGGAAUCGCUAGUAAUCGUGGAUCAGAAUGUCACGGUGAAUACGUUCCCGGGUCUU
This 383-nucleotide ribosomal RNA is filed under the name uncultured Polaromonas sp. RNAcentral's name for it is "bacterial SSU rRNA". It matches the Rfam family "Bacterial small subunit ribosomal RNA", at positions 998 to 1382 of the family's 1533-position model. The record is from RNAcentral. Lineage: Bacteria; Pseudomonadati; Pseudomonadota; Betaproteobacteria; Burkholderiales; Comamonadaceae.